UACAUAUUAUAUAUAUGUAUGUACACAAUACUAAGAAAUCUUUAUGUAUUCUGUAAUGAACCAUCGACAAUCUCAGAAUAAUUGACCGAUGCAUCCUUGUAACUCACCGGAGAAACCGCAGUGAUCUCCACCGGAAAAAUCUCCUUCCAUUACAUAAACCUCAGCUCCUUUGACUUGUUUCAAUGAAGUUUCUACACCUUCCAUUUUUGCUCUGAUUAAUUUUCUCUAUCUAAUUCAGCUUUCCUUUGCUUGUUCCUAAAGAUCAUAAGCUAGAGAAUGGGCUGCGCUGGAUCGUCACAGACGAAAAAAGAUGGAAAAGUGAAAAAGAUUCGAAAGCCAAAGUCUUGGAAGCAUCCCCAGCCAAUAACAAAGUCUCAACUUUUGCAGAUGCGUGAUGAAUUUUGGGACACUGCUCCUCACUAUGGUGGCAGAAAA
This is a non-coding RNA of Carica papaya (papaya), 435 nucleotides long. NCBI's taxonomy places the organism in Eukaryota, Viridiplantae, Streptophyta, Magnoliopsida, Brassicales, Caricaceae. The record is from RefSeq and is a predicted model, not a curated record.